This 554-nucleotide ribosomal RNA is filed under the name Probreviceps sp. MTSN 8108. RNAcentral describes it as "partial 16S ribosomal RNA". It matches the Rfam family "Bacterial large subunit ribosomal RNA", at positions 1817 to 2597 of the family's 2925-position model. The record is from RNAcentral. Lineage: Eukaryota; Metazoa; Chordata; Amphibia; Anura; Brevicipitidae.
CGCCUCCUGACUUAACUAUAGGAGGUCCAGCCUGCCCAAUGAAUAUUGAAUGGCCGCGGUACUCUUACCGUGCGAAGGUAGCAUAAUCACUUGUUCAUUAAAUGUGGACUAGAAUGAACGGCACCACGAGGGUUAUACUGUCUCCCUACUCUAAUCAAUGAAACUAUUCUUCCCGUGAAGAAACGGGAAUUUUUAUAUAAGACGAGAAGACCCCAUGGAGCUUUAAACCCAGAACAUCUACUAAUUCCUUUUCCAACCAAAUAUAUAGUACUUAUGCCCCUGGUUUUCGGUUGGGGCGACCACGGAGUAAAUAAUAACCUCCAUGAUGAACAAAUUAUACUUUUACCUAAGAACCACAUUUCUAAGGACCAUCAAUAUGACAUUUCUUGACCCAAGUUUACUUGAUCAACGAACCUAGUUACCCUGGGGAUAACAGCGCAAUCCAUUUCAAGAGCUCAUAUCGACAAAUGGGUUUACGACCUCGAUGUUGGAUCAGGGUAUCCCAGUGGUGCAGCCGCUACUAAAGGUUUGUUUGUUCAACAAUUAAUAACCCU